This 214-nucleotide ribosomal RNA is filed under the name Paenibacillus sp. NFR01. RNAcentral describes it as "partial 16S rRNA. Bacterial SSU". It matches the Rfam family "Bacterial small subunit ribosomal RNA", at positions 1 to 213 of the family's 1533-position model. Lineage: Bacteria; Bacillati; Bacillota; Bacilli; Caryophanales; Paenibacillaceae. The record is from RNAcentral.
CCUUUAUGGAGAGUUUGAUCCUGGCUCAGGACGAACGCUGGCGGCGUGCCUAAUACAUGCAAGUCGAGCGGAGUUUAUCCUUCGGGGUAAGCUUAGCGGCGGACGGGUGAGUAACACGUAGGCAACCUGCCCCAUGAACUGGGAUAACUACCGGAAACGGUAGCUAAUACCGGAUAAUUCCUCUUUUCGCCUGAAGGGAGGAUGAAAGACGGAG